CGUACACUCCUGCGGGAGGCAGCAGUGGGGAAUAUUGCACAAUGGGCGCAAGCCUGAUGCAGCCAUGCCGCGUGUAUGAAGAAGGCCUUCGGGUUGUAAAGUACUUUCAGCGGGGAGGAAGGCGAUAAGGUUAAUAACCUUGUCGAUUGACGUUACCCGCAGAAGAAGCACCGGCUAACUCCGUGCCAGCAGCCGCGGUAAUACGGAGGGUGCAAGCGUUAAUCGGAAUUACUGGGCGUAAAGCGCACGCAGGCGGUCUGUCAAGUCGGAUGUGAAAUCCCCGGGCUCAACCUGGGAACUGCAUUCGAAACUGGCAGGCUAGAGUCUUGUAGAGGGGGGUAGAAUUCCAGGUGUAGCGGUGAAAUGCGUAGAGAUCUGGAGGAAUACCGGUGGCGAAGGCGGCCCCCUGGACAAAGACUGACGCUCAGGUGCGAAAGCGUGGGGAGCAAACAGGAUUAGAAACCCGGGUAGUCCCA
RNAcentral lists this ribosomal RNA (476 nucleotides) under uncultured organism. RNAcentral describes it as "partial 16S ribosomal RNA". It matches the Rfam family "Bacterial small subunit ribosomal RNA", at positions 330 to 797 of the family's 1533-position model. The record is from RNAcentral.